GAGUUUGAUCGUGGCUCAGGAUGAACGCUGGCGGCGUGCCUAAUACAUGCAAGUCGAGCGAACUGAUUAGAAGCUUGCUUCUAUGACGUUAGCGGCGGACGGGUGAGUAACACGUGGGCAACCUGCCUGUAAGACUGGGAUAACUUCGGGAAACCGAAGCUAAUACCGGAUAGGAUCUUCUCCUUCAUGGGAGAUGAUUGAAAGAUGGUUUCGGCUAUCACUUACAGAUGGGCCCGCGGUGCAUUAGCUAGUUGGUGAGGUAACGGCUCACCAAGGCAACGAUGCAUAGCCGACCUGAGAGGGUGAUCGGCCACACUGGGACUGAGACACGGCCCAGACUCUACGGGAGCAGCAGUAGGAAUCUUCCGCAAUGGACGAAAGUCUGACGGAGCAACGCCGACGUGAGUGAUGAAGGUCUUUCGGGUCGUAAAACUCUGUUGUUAGGGAAGAACAAGUACAAGAGUAACUG
RNAcentral lists this ribosomal RNA (469 nucleotides) under uncultured Bacillus sp. RNAcentral describes it as "bacterial SSU rRNA". It matches the Rfam family "Bacterial small subunit ribosomal RNA", at positions 9 to 468 of the family's 1533-position model. Lineage: Bacteria; Bacillati; Bacillota; Bacilli; Caryophanales; Bacillaceae. The record is from RNAcentral.